This 253-nucleotide unclassified non-coding RNA is filed under the name uncultured Rhodobacterales bacterium. RNAcentral describes it as "contains 16S-23S intergenic spacer region". It matches the Rfam family "Bacterial small subunit ribosomal RNA", at positions 524 to 776 of the family's 1533-position model. The record is from RNAcentral. Lineage: Bacteria; Pseudomonadati; Pseudomonadota; Alphaproteobacteria; Rhodobacterales.
UACGGAGGGGGUUAGCGUUGUUCGGAAUUACUGGGCGUAAAGCGCACGUAGGCCGGCUGUUAAGUCAGAGGUGAAAUCCCGGGGCUCAACCCCGGAACUGCCUUUGAUACUGGCAGCCUAGAGUUCGAGAGAGGUGAGUGGAACUCCGAGUGUAGAGGUGAAAUUCGUAGAUAUUCGGAAGAACACCAGUGGCGAAGGCGGCUCACUGGCUCGAUACUGACGCUGAGGUGCGAAAGCGUGGGGAGCAAACAGG